AACGAACGCUGGCGGCGUGCCUAACACAUGCAAGUCGAGCGGGAAAGUUCCCUUCGGGGGAGCGAGUACAGCGGCGAACGGGUGAGUAACACGUAGGCAACCUACCCCGGAGACCGGGAUAACCUGUCGAAAGGCGGGCUAAUACCGGAUAAGACCACGAGGGCCUCGGCCCUUGAGGUAAAAGGUGGCCUCUGCUUGCAAGCUAUCACUCCAGGAUGGGCCUGCGCGCCAUUAGCUAGUUGGGAGGUAACGGCUCACCAAGGCGAAGAUGGCUAGCUGGUCUGAGAGGAUGGCCAGCCACACUGGGACUGAGAUACGGCCCAGACUCCUACGGGAGGCAGCAGUGGGGAAUCUUGCGCAAUGGGCAAAGCCUGACGCAGCGACGCCGCGUGGGUGAUGAAGG
Molecule: ribosomal RNA, 403 nt
Filed under: uncultured bacterium
Lineage: Bacteria
Description: bacterial SSU rRNA
Rfam family: Bacterial small subunit ribosomal RNA
Source: RNAcentral